ACGGCGAGUGAAGCAGCAAUAGCUCAAAUUUGAAAUCUGGCGUCUUCGGCGUCCGAGUUGUAAUUUGUAGAGGAUGCUUCUGGGCAGCCACCGACCUAAGUUCCUUGGAACAGGACGUCAUAGAGGGUGAGAAUCCCGUAUGCGGUCGGAAAGGCACCCUACACGUAGCUCCUUCGACGAGUCGAGUUGUUUGGGAAUGCAGCUCUAAAUGGGAGGUAAAUUUCUUCUAAAGCUAAAUAUUGGCCAGAGACCGAUAGCGCACAAGUAGAGUGAUCGAAAGAUGAAAAGCACUUUGGAAAGAGAGUUAAAAAGCACGUGAAAUUGUUGAAAGGGAAGGGAUUGCAACCAGACUUGCUCGCGGUGUUCCGCCGGUCUUCUGACCGGUCUACUCGCCGCGUUGCAGGCCAGCAUCGUCUGGUGCCGCUGGAUAAGACUUGAGGAAUGUAGCUCCCUCGGGAGUGUUAUAGCCUCUUGUGAUGCAGCGAGCGCCGGGCGAGGUCCGCGCUUCGGCUAGGAUGCUGGCGUAAUGGUUGUAAUCCGCCCGU
Molecule: ribosomal RNA, 545 nt
Filed under: Cladosporium halotolerans
Lineage: Eukaryota; Fungi; Ascomycota; Dothideomycetes; Cladosporiales; Cladosporiaceae
Description: partial large subunit ribosomal RNA
Rfam family: Eukaryotic large subunit ribosomal RNA
Source: RNAcentral